Molecule: long non-coding RNA, 419 nt
Organism: Scylla paramamosain (green mud crab)
Lineage: Eukaryota; Metazoa; Arthropoda; Malacostraca; Decapoda; Portunidae
Exons: 2
Source: RefSeq, a predicted model, not a curated record
CACAGAUCACAGUAAACCCAAGGCUGUGGUCUGUGGCUGCGUGACCUUGACGUACAGAACACUACAGGAGUUUUGCGUGUGUCAGUGUUGCCAGCCAAGACCACCAGUGUUACCAGAUGAAAGGGAGAUGCCUAGAGAGACGCUAAGUGGAUGAAAAGUCUCCUCCACCUUCUCCCCCAUUGCUCCAUCCACACUCGCCCUGCCACGACCCUCCACCGACCACCAGGAGGGAACAUGAGUCAUCCAGGUCGUCUUAACAAGCAUCACAGUUCACGGGUUUCCCAGAUCCAGAAAUAACAUCUUUUCGUCUCGCCUACUGUAAACACCUCUACAACACCACUCCAUUAUCUCUCUCUCUCUCUCUCUCUCUCUCUCUCUCUCUCUCUCUCUCUCUCUCUCUCUCUCUCUCUCUCUCUCUC